AGAACAUUUUGAAUAGUCCAUAUACAGCUCUGUAAGCGCCACAGACACAGUGCUAGCAUGUUCCAGGAACUUUGCAAUGCUUAACAAAAAACACGUACUUCUGACAAGCAUUUUAUCAUCUGUCCAGGUCUGGGUUAUACACAACAUGCUUUACUUGGAACGAAACUGGCACGUGACGACACCUUCUGUUUGGCACUUUCCUGUCCUUCCCUGCCCAUGCGUACCAUCUCCUGUCACCAGGGGCUUAUCAGCUCUGCAUCGCCCUGGCAGCACGGGAAGGACAGGACCAAGUCCUAGGCCUGCUAUGCUCUACAGCAGAGCCAGUAUAGCAGGGUGCUCACCCCACAAUGGGCGCAAAGCAUUGGCUAUUCCACCAACAUCUCUACCCCUCCAGCCUCAUUCUGUGGCAGAACCUUUUCUGAUGGUUCCAUGCUAGUUCUUGCUUCAGUGCCCUCACCUUUGUGGACACAGAGCAUUCAGGAGGAGGAAGCAUGAAGGAGACAGGGGAAUGUGGUUCCCCACCAGCAUGCACAUCCACACAAUGUUACACAGGAACCACAGCUGCAAAGCUCUGGUAGGCAUUUACUGUCUAACAAGAUAUGAGCUCUACGAUGUGACUAUACAUCUAUAACAUUCCUCCCUCCAUCGCAGUUCUCUCCUGUAUAGUACCAGAUGAAAUUCCA
Phasianus colchicus (ring-necked pheasant) is the source of this 683-nucleotide long non-coding RNA. RefSeq lists it as uncharacterized. The record is from RefSeq and is a predicted model, not a curated record. Lineage: Eukaryota; Metazoa; Chordata; Aves; Galliformes; Phasianidae.